UACGGGGGGGGCAAGCGUUGUUCGGAAUUACUGGGCGUAAAGGGCGUGUAGGCGGCAAGGAAAGUCAGACGUGAAAUCUCGGGGCUUAACCUCGAAACUGCGUUUGAUACUUCCAUGCUCUGAGUGCGGAAGAGGCAACCGGAAUUCCUGGUGUAGCGGUGAAAUGCGUAGAUAUCAGGAGGAACUCCAGUGGCGAAGGCGGGUUGCUGGGCCGACACUGACGCUGUGGCGCGAAAGCUAGGGGAGCAAACGGG
Molecule: ribosomal RNA, 254 nt
Filed under: uncultured bacterium
Lineage: Bacteria
Description: partial 16S ribosomal RNA
Rfam family: Bacterial small subunit ribosomal RNA
Source: RNAcentral